Long non-coding RNA from Dermacentor albipictus, 606 nucleotides. RefSeq lists it as uncharacterized. The record is from RefSeq and is a predicted model, not a curated record. Lineage: Eukaryota; Metazoa; Arthropoda; Arachnida; Ixodida; Ixodidae.
UGUCGAACAUCUCAUUCUGUGCUGGAAACACUGGGAGGCAGGAAGUUUGAAAAAAAACGGCCACUCCCGCCCGCAAUGUCUCGGUCGUGGGUUCGUUAUGCCAGUUGUUCAAGCCGUUCUGUACAUUUAUACUGGACAUUAACUGGAGUCAUUUAGCUGUGCUGAUGCUGUUUGCCGUGUGUUUUGCAUCAGUGCUUCGUGACAUCGGCUGUAUUGCGUGUUUUCGCCGACGGCUUACUACCACAAUGGCGGGAUCUGCGUUCGCCGCCUUCGUGUCUCGGUGCGUCUUUGUACGUCGCACGUUCGGAUAACACUUUUUCCGACGGCUGGACAUCCUUCUUGUACCUUGGCGCUAGCUGGAUGACGGGACCUCAUCAUGAUCAGUGUAUUGCUUUCCUAUGUCUACAAGAACCGUCACGGGUGGCCUGUGACAGCAAGCUUUUGUGGGCAGCCAGUGCUCUCCUACGAAGGCUGGCCUACUCUGGCAGCGGCGGCAAUCAUCUUCAAGAUUUAUCGAUGAUCACCUUUGCUGCUAUUUGUCACUCUUCUUAAUUACACUUUCUGCAUCUUUUCUAAUCUAUUAGGUAAUAAAGUAUGAGUAUGUGA